Molecule: long non-coding RNA, 1424 nt
Organism: Hippocampus zosterae (dwarf seahorse)
Lineage: Eukaryota; Metazoa; Chordata; Actinopteri; Syngnathiformes; Syngnathidae
Exons: 3
Source: RefSeq, a predicted model, not a curated record
GAGAAAACGACAAAUUUAACAUUACACUCUGAAUGAGACGAAUAAAGGUUUUCUUAUUCUUAUUAAAUAUAUUUAUGUGGUAUAACGUGGUCAAGAGCUGUGCCAUGGACCUUGUGAUCCAGAAAAAUCCAAUUUCUGUCUCGAAUUUUAUAUCAAUUUUAGUAUUUGUGUGCGUGUGUGGGUAUGUGUGUGCGUGUGUGCGUGUGCGUGUGUGUGUAUUUGUGUGUGCGUGUGUGUUAUUUUCGUCAUCGUCAGUAUUAUUUAAUAUUCAUUUUCAAAGUGGCACUGUCGAUUUGUUUCAUUAUUCAGUUUAAAAAACGCGUCGACUGUGAUGCAGUACGCUACAUUUAUCCCAUUAGAAAUGAUUUAAAUGAAUACAUUUCCAGGAAUCUAAACUAAUCACCUAAUAUGAUGUAGAACAGGUCUUAUUUAAUGUCAUUGCAUUUAUGUGUUAACUGUUGAUUAUGAUAAUGACGUAUUUUCUAUCAACUUAAAAAGUUGUCCAAAUCAGUUUCUGAUUUUUUAACUCGUGAAUAUUAUGAAGGGGAAAAAAGGCACAAAAACACUUAGAGGUUAUGAAAUUGUAUUCAGGUAAAAACACAAUGGUGACUGAAAACUUUUGAGAGGCUGCUUGGCUCUAUUCUACUGUUGUCUCACAGUGACCUCUUGUGGUUGAAUCUUUCACUCCUCCCCGUGUGGCGUUUGCAUGAUGUGUCUGCGUUUUCUCCUCCUCCUUUGGCUUCUUUCCGUGUUCCAAUAACAUGUAUGUUAAUCGAAACUAACAUGAGCCAUUGGUAUGUAUGUUUGUCUUUAGAUGCCCUGCAAAUGCCUGGCGACCACACCAGAGUGUACAGUACGUCAGCCAGGCAGUUCUAGGUCACUUCACGACCCUAAUGAGGACACGUAGCAGAUGUUGGAGUGAACAUCAUCUGAAACAAGGCGGCCUGGUGUCCAGUGAUUAGCACGUCGACCUCGCAGUGCAAUUCCAGGUUCAGUUCCAGCUCCGGCCUCCUGGUGUGGAGUUUGCAUGUUCUCCCCGUGUCUGCGUGGGUUUUCUCCAGCCCAUCAUCAGCAUGUUCGUGCUACGCUGCUUUGAAACAACCAUUUUUAUACUCCUCUUUUCAAGUUUGCACACAGAUGCAAAACCACUGAGGUAAGCGCCGUUCUAAUGUGUGGGAAAUCAAUGCUGUCUUUUCUAGUCAAGGAGGACAGAAAAGAAAAAGAAGUCACUCAUUGAUCAUUCAUCAUCUUUUCCUCAGAGUGACUGUGGUAUUUUUUUGUGUGCAGAAAGAGAACCAUCAGUGAGGUACAGUUAAUGCACAAUGUUCAGGAACACAAACAAGUGGGAGAGAGACAGGAAUGGCUCCAAGAAAAAUUAAAGGACAUUAUUGUUACCAGUGCCAACCCCCAACAUAGACAAUUAA